GACGAACGCUGGCGGCGUGCUUAACACAUGCAAGUCGAACGGAAAGGCCCUGCUUUUGUGGGGUGCUCGAGUGGCGAACGGGUGAGUAACACGUGAGUAACCUGCCCUUGACUUUGGGAUAACUUCAGGAAACUGGGGCUAAUACCGGAUAGGAGCUCCUGCUGCAUGGUGGGGGUUGGAAAGUUUCGGCGGUUGGGGAUGGACUCGCGGCUUAUCAGCUUGUUGGUGGGGUAGUGGCUUACCAAGGCUUUGACGGGUAGCCGGCCUGAGAGGGUGACCGGCAACAUUGGGACUGAGAUACGGGCCAGACUCCUACGGGAGGCAGCAGUGGGGAAUAUUGCACAAUGGGCGGAAGCCGGAUGCAGCAACGCCGCGUGCGGGAUGACGGCCUUCGGGUUGUAAACCGCUUUCGCCUGUGACGAAGCGUGAGUGACGGUAAUGGGUAAAGAAGCACCGGCUAACUACGUG
This 468-nucleotide ribosomal RNA is filed under the name uncultured bacterium. RNAcentral describes it as "partial 16S ribosomal RNA". It matches the Rfam family "Bacterial small subunit ribosomal RNA", at positions 28 to 507 of the family's 1533-position model. The record is from RNAcentral.